This 28-nucleotide small RNA is filed under the name Bombyx mori (domestic silkworm). RNAcentral's name for it is "ovarian small RNA-38179". Lineage: Eukaryota; Metazoa; Arthropoda; Insecta; Lepidoptera; Bombycidae. The record is from RNAcentral.
UUGUUCUUUUGAAUAAAAAUUUUUGUGA